UACGUAGGGGGCGAGCGUUGUCCGGAUUUAUUGGGCGUAAAGCGCGCGUAGGCGGCGCGGUGUGUCGUGCGUGAAAUCUCCCGGCUUAACUGGGAGGGGCCGUGCGAAACUGCCGGGCUUGAGGUCGGAAGGGGAAAGUGGAAUUCCGGGUGUAGUGGUGGAAUACGUAGAUAUCCGGAGGAACACCAGCGGCGAAGGCGGCUUUCUGGUCCGAUACUGACGCUGAGGCGCGAAAGCGUGGGGAGCGAUC
Molecule: ribosomal RNA, 250 nt
Filed under: uncultured bacterium
Lineage: Bacteria
Description: partial 16S ribosomal RNA
Rfam family: Bacterial small subunit ribosomal RNA
Source: RNAcentral